Molecule: ribosomal RNA, 420 nt
Filed under: bacterium
Lineage: Bacteria
Description: partial 16S ribosomal RNA
Rfam family: Bacterial small subunit ribosomal RNA
Source: RNAcentral
UGGGGGAUAUUGCACAAUGGGCGAAAGCCUGAUGCAGCGACGCGGCGUGGGGGAUGAAGGCUUUCGGGUUGUAAACCUCUUUCGCUAUCGAACAAGGCUCGCGUAGGGUGGGUCGAGGGUAGGUGGAGAAGAAGCGCCGGCGAACUACGUGCCAGCAGCCGCGGUAAUACGUAGGGCGCGAGCGUUGUCCGGAGUUAUUGGGCGUGAAGGGCUUGUAGGCGGCUUGUUGCGCCUGCUGUGAAAACGCGGGGCUUAACUUCGUGCUUGAAGUGGGGAAGGGCAGACUUGAAUGUUGUAGUGGUGACUGGAAUUCCUGGUGUAGCGGAGGAAUGCGCAGAAAUCUGGAGGAACAACGAUGGCGAAGGCAGGUCACUGGUCCAUUACUGCCGCUGAGGAGCGAAAGCAUGGGUAGCGAACAGG